GCUGCUAUGGCUCAGUUGGUAGAGCGCGUCCUUGGUAAGGACGAGGUCACCGGUUCAAAUCCGGUUAGUAGCUCCA
This 76-nucleotide transfer RNA is filed under the name Clostridiales bacterium. RNAcentral describes it as "tRNA-Thr". It matches the Rfam family "tRNA". Rfam says of the family: Transfer RNA (tRNA) molecules are approximately 80 nucleotides in length. Their secondary structure includes four short double-helical elements and three loops (D, anti-codon, and T loops). Lineage: Bacteria; Bacillati; Bacillota; Clostridia; Eubacteriales. RNAcentral also lists the same sequence under 1 other name. The record is from RNAcentral.